GGUUAAGCGACUAAGCGUACACGGUGGAUGCCCUGGCAGUCAGAGGCGAUGAAGGGCGUGCUAAUCUGCGAUAAGCGCCGGUAAGGUGAUAUGAACCGUUAUAACCGGCGAUACCCGAAUGGGGAAACCCAGUGUGACUCGUCACACUAUCAUUAACUGAAUCCAUAGGUUAAUGAGGCGAACCGGGGGAACUGAAACAUCUAAGUACCCCGAGGAAAAGAAAUCAACCGAGAUUCCCCCAGUAGCGGCGAGCGAACGGGGAGGAGCCCAGAGCCUGAAUCAGCAUGUGUGUUAGUGGAAGCGUCUGGAAAGGCGCGCGAUACAGGGUGACAGCCCCGUACACAAAAGCGCAUGUGCUGUGAGCUCGAUGAGUAGGGCGGGACACGUGGUAUCCUGUCUGAAUAUGGGGGGACCAUCCUCCAAGGCUAAAUACUCCUGACUGACCGAUAGUGAACCAGUACCGUGAGGGAAAGGCGAAAAGAACCCCGGCGAGGGGAGUGAAAAAGAACCUGAAACCGUGUACGUACAAGCAGUGGGAGCACAGGUUUACCUGUGUGACUGCGUACCUUUUGUAUAAUGGGUCAGCGACUUAUAUUCUGUAGCAAGGUUAACCGAAUAGGGGAGCCGGAGGGAAACCGAGUCUUAACUGGGCGUUAAGUUGCAGGGUAUAGACCCGAAACCCGGUGAUCUAGCCAUGGGCAGGUUGAAGGUUGGGUAACACUAACUGGAGGACCGAACCGACUAAUGUUGAAAAAUUAGCGGAUGACCUGUGGCUGGGGGUGAAAGGCCAAUCAAACCGGGAGAUAGCUGGUUCUCCCCGAAAGCUAUUUAGGUAGCGCCUCGUGAACUCAUCUCCGGGGGUAGAGCACUGUUUCGGCUAGGGGGCCAUCCCGGCUUACCAACCCGAUGCAAACUGCGAAUACCGGAGAAUGUUAUCACGGGAGACACACGGCGGGUGCUAACGUCCGUCGUGAAGAGGGAAACAACCCAGACCGCCAGCUAAGGUCCCAAAGUCAUGGUUAAGUGGGAAACGAUGUGGGAAGGCCCAGACAGCCAGGAUGUUGGCUUAGAAGCAGCCAUCAUUUAAAGAAAGCGUAAUAGCUCACUGGUCGAGUCGGCCUGCGCGGAAGAUGUAACGGGGCUAAACCAUGCACCGAAGCUGCGGCAGCGACACUGUGUGUUGUUGGGUAGGGGAGCGUUCUGUAAGCCUGCGAAGGUGGCCUGUGAGGGUUGCUGGAGGUAUCAGAAGUGCGAAUGCUGACAUAAGUAACGAUAAAGCGGGUGAAAAGCCCGCUCGCCGGAAGACCAAGGGUUCCUGUCCAACGUUAAUCGGGGCAGGGUGAGUCGACCCCUAAGGCGAGGCCGAAAGGCGUAGUCGAUGGGAAACGGGUUAAUAUUCCCGUACUUGGUGUUACUGCGAAGGGGGACGGAGAAGGCUAUGUUGGCCGGGCGACGGUUGUCCCGGUUUAAGCGUGUAGGUGUGUGUUCCAGGUAAAUCCGGUUCACUUUAACACUGAGGCGUGACGACGAGGCACUACGGUGCUGAAGCAACAAAUGCCCUGCUUCCAGGAAAAGCCUCUAAGCAUCAGGUAACAUCAAAUCGUACCCCAAACCGACACAGGUGGUCAGGUAGAGAAUACCAAGGCGCUUGAGAGAACUCGGGUGAAGGAACUAGGCAAAAUGGUGCCGUAACUUCGGGAGAAGGCACGCUGACACGUAGGUGAAGUGAUUUACUCAUGGAGCUGAAGUCAGUCGAAGAUACCAGCUGGCUGCAACUGUUUAUUAAAAACACAGCACUGUGCAAACACGAAAGUGGACGUAUACGGUGUGACGCCUGCCCGGUGCCGGAAGGUUAAUUGAUGGGGUCAGCGCAAGCGAAGCUCCUGAUCGAAGCCCCGGUAAACGGCGGCCGUAACUAUAACGGUCCUAAGGUAGCGAAAUUCCUUGUCGGGUAAGUUCCGACCUGCACGAAUGGCGUAAUGAUGGCCAGGCUGUCUCCACCCGAGACUCAGUGAAAUUGAACUCGCUGUGAAGAUGCAGUGUACCCGCGGCAAGACGGAAAGACCCCGUGAACCUUUACUAUAGCUUGACACUGAACAUUGAGCCUUGAUGUGUAGGAUAGGUGGGAGGCUUUGAAGUGUGGACGCCAGUCUGCAUGGAGCCGACCUUGAAAUACCACCCUUUAAUGUUUGAUGUUCUAACGUGGACCCGUUACCCGGGUUGCGGACAGUGUCUGGUGGGUAGUUUGACUGGGGCGGUCUCCUCCUAAAGAGUAACGGAGGAGCACGAAGGUUGGCUAAUCCUGGUCGGACAUCAGGAGGUUAGUGCAAUGGCAUAAGCCAGCUUGACUGCGAGCGUGACGGCGCGAGCAGGUGCGAAAGCAGGUCAUAGUGAUCCGGUGGUUCUGAAUGGAAGGGCCAUCGCUCAACGGACGGAUAAAAGGUACUCCGGGGAUAACAGGCUGAUACCGCCCAAGAGUUCAUAUCGACGGCGGUGUUUGGCACCUCGAUGUCGGCUCAUCACAUCCUGGGGCUGAAGUAGGUCCCAAGGGUAUGGCUGUUCGCCAUUUAAAGUGGUACGCGAGCUGGGUUUAGAACGUCGUGAGACAGUUCGGUCCCUAUCUGCCGUGGGCGCUGGAGAACUGAGGGGGGCUGCUCCUAGUACGAGAGGACCGGAGUGGACGCAUCACUGGUGUUCGGGUUGUCAUGCCAAUGGCACUGCCCGGUAGCUAAAUGCGGAAGAGAUAAGUGCUGAAAGCAUCUAAGCACGAAACUUGCCCCGAGAUGAGUUCUCCCUGAGACUUAGAGUCUCCUGAAGGAACGUUGAAGACGACGACGUUGAUAGGCCGGGUGUGUAAGCGCAGCGAUGCGUUGAGCUAACCGGUACUAAUGAACCGUGAGGCUUAACCUU
Molecule: ribosomal RNA, 2910 nt
Filed under: Salmonella enterica subsp. enterica
Lineage: Bacteria; Pseudomonadati; Pseudomonadota; Gammaproteobacteria; Enterobacterales; Enterobacteriaceae
Description: 23S ribosomal RNA
Rfam family: Bacterial large subunit ribosomal RNA
Source: RNAcentral